GACGAACGCUGGCGGCGUGCUUAACACAUGCAAGUCGAACGGAAAGGCCCCCAUCUUGGUGGGGGUGCUCGAGUGGCGAACGGGUGAGUAACACGUGGGUGAUCUGCCCUGUACUUCGGGAUAAGCUUGGGAAACUGGGUCUAAUACCGGAUAGGACCAUGGUUUAGUGUCUCAUGGUGGAAAGAUUAUUGUUUUGGUGCAGGAUGAGCUCGCGGCCUAUCAGCUUGUUGGUGGGGUAAUGGCCUACCAAGGCGUCGACGGGUAGCCGGCCUGAGAGGGUGGACGGCCACAUUGGGACUGAGAUACGGCCCAGACUCCUACGGGAGGCAGCAGUGGGGAAUAUUGCACAAUGGGCGCAAGCCUGAUGCAGCGACGCCGCGUGGGGGAUGACGGCCUUCGGGUUGUAAACUCCUUUCGUUAGGGACGAAGCCACGCUUUUUGGGUGUGGCGACGGUACCUUUGUUAAGAAGCACCGGCUAACUACGUG
This 487-nucleotide ribosomal RNA is filed under the name uncultured bacterium. RNAcentral's name for it is "partial 16S ribosomal RNA". It matches the Rfam family "Bacterial small subunit ribosomal RNA", at positions 28 to 507 of the family's 1533-position model. The record is from RNAcentral.